This is a non-coding RNA of Equus quagga, 462 nucleotides long. The record is from the annotation of a RefSeq genome assembly. Lineage: Eukaryota; Metazoa; Chordata; Mammalia; Perissodactyla; Equidae.
UCCUGUCCUGGCCCUGCCAUGGCUCUCAGGCUUCUCUGCUAUGUGGCCCUUUGUCUCCUUGGAGUAGGUCACAUGGGUGCCAUGGUCACCCAGGAGCCAAGAUACCAGGUUACUAGGAAAGGAAAAACAGUCACCCUGGGUUGUUCUCAGAAUCUGAGUCAUGAGUACAUGUACUGGUACCAACAGAAGCCAAGCCAACCCCCAAAGCUGCUGUUUUACUACUAUGAUAAAAACUUUAACAAUGAAACAGACACCUCCGACAACUUCCAAUCCAGCCGGCCUAACACUUCCUUCUGUUCUCUUAGCAUCCGCUCCCCAGGCGUGGGGGACUCAGCAGUGUAUCUCUGUGCCAGCAAAAGAGACACAGAGCUAAAGCACUGCCUCCCCACUGUGCAUAAACCUCUCUGUUUCCCAGAUCCAAGAGCCUUCUUAGACCUCCUUCCCCUCCUUCAACAACAGUAG